CAGAGUUGCAAGACCCCCUAAACCAUUGUGAACCUACCUUCUACCGUUGCUUCGGCGGGCGGGCCCAGCGCCCCCCCGGCCCCCCGCGGGCGCCCGCCGGAGGAUACCCAAACUCUUGACAUUAGUGGCCUCUCUGAGCAUUCUUUACUGAAUAAGUCA
This 159-nucleotide unclassified non-coding RNA is filed under the name soil metagenome. RNAcentral's name for it is "partial internal transcribed spacer 1". The record is from RNAcentral.